AUGUGCAUCACGUAGGGCGCUUCGCUAUGCACGCCGACCAUCUCGACCGGUCCUUGCCCGCCCAGCGCCGCGGGAAAUGACGCGGCAUGGAUGCCGUGUAAGAGCCGACGGGGACGUCCUCGCGGCGUGUCCUGCGAUGGUGGGUGGGCAAUGGUCCUUGCAGCAACGCCGCAGAUCAGAGCCUUGCAGGCCAAGCCACAA
Molecule: small RNA, 201 nt
Filed under: Xanthomonas campestris pv. campestris
Lineage: Bacteria; Pseudomonadati; Pseudomonadota; Gammaproteobacteria; Lysobacterales; Lysobacteraceae
Description: ncRNA of unknown function
Source: RNAcentral